RNAcentral lists this long non-coding RNA (984 nucleotides) under Phasianus colchicus (ring-necked pheasant). RNAcentral describes it as "lncRNA (ENSPCLG00000019950.1)". Lineage: Eukaryota; Metazoa; Chordata; Aves; Galliformes; Phasianidae. The record is from RNAcentral.
CCCUUCAUUUGGCCAAAAAAAAUAAAAAGAAACAAGGUUGGUUUUGGCUGCAGCACUAGCUAGCUAAAAGACAAAGCAUACUGAGUUGCUGGGAGAAGGCUAGCAGUUAUUUUUGUGUGGACUGCACUUAUGCCAGCACUAGUUCAUUACUUCUUCCAUCUUUUAAGACAACAAUGACUAAAUGAGCAUAAUAAAUCUUGGUCCUUUUUGUUGAACUUGCCUGAACCAUAAAGGCACCACUCACAGUCUUAACAGUGAAUAGGAAUGAAAACCCAACUGCUCUCUCAGUUCAGAGUCAGUCCCUCCAGUUUAAGGUUAUUGAUAAUGCACACUGGCUACGCAGCAACUGGACCUGCAGUUUUAUUGCUGCCAAUAGCAGCUUGACUGAGAGACACUAAGCUGCCUUUUGAAAUCUGAUUAGAAAGCAGACUUCUUCACUAAAUCCUGAAGAAACAAAAAGAUGCUAAAAUCCUUCAUAUCCAGUCGCAUCUCAGACCCCCAGUUUCUCAGCAGCAAGCAUCAGGUGGGAACAAGACAUGAAAUCAACAAUCCGAGUCCAGCCUAAGGCACGGAACAGAGAUUACUUUCGUGGCAUUAAACUGUGACCUACUUGCAAGAUCCUGGACAUGUGGAGAUUAUUAAAUCAGCUCAGCGUUCUUAUGGUAGAUUACAGAUUGCUCUCUGAACCAUCUGUGACUGUGUACAUGGAUGCAUAAGCUGGUGGAUGUCUGUUUAGAAACAAGACACCAAGACUUCUCGUGCCUCAGCUCUUUGACUGACUAUAAGGACAAAGAUUUUCAAGCUUCAGCCAAAGGCAUCAGAAUGAUGAAGACAAUGAAAGAUGCGAAUGGUCUCCGCAUUGCUCAGAAGUUUCCUCUAAAAUUAAAGACUUUUGUUCUGAAUCACUGCCCACCUUGUCAGCUGCAUCGACCACAAGGUAAAAUAGCACACCCAUCUCACAGCAUUCCUUUCCUUCAGAGUUAA